CCCCUAGGUACCCCAAUGGCAUCUAUGUAAAUGUGGGGGUCAAAACUGCCUUUUACUGGGGUUUCACGCUUAAUCCUAGCUAACGUCUGUGGGGAAUCGUGGGUGCCGGGAUGAUUGUCAGAAAUAAUGUGGAUGGGCAUAAUAACCUUGGCCAAGGUACACUCCCCCCACCAGUCAGUCUCCAGUCUGGAUCUUAACUGCAAGUCCCCA
Molecule: non-coding RNA, 210 nt
Organism: Pelobates cultripes (western spadefoot toad)
Lineage: Eukaryota; Metazoa; Chordata; Amphibia; Anura; Pelobatidae
Source: the annotation of a GenBank genome assembly